RNAcentral lists this unclassified non-coding RNA (238 nucleotides) under Chytridiomycota sp. RNAcentral describes it as "partial contains small subunit ribosomal RNA, internal transcribed spacer 1, and 5.8S ribosomal RNA". The stretch from base 1 to 47 matches the Rfam family "Eukaryotic small subunit ribosomal RNA", at positions 1785 to 1831 of the family's 1831-position model. The record is from RNAcentral. Lineage: Eukaryota; Fungi; Chytridiomycota.
AAAGUCGUAACAAGGUAACCGUAGGUGAACCUGCGGUUGGAUCAUUAACAAAGUGGGAUGCUUUAGAGCGUCCCUUGGGCGCAAGCCCAAUAAACCUUGUGCAAUUUGGCAGGACAUGGACGGAAGGACUUACGUCUCGGAGCCCUAGGCCUGCCCAUGUAUAAACAAACUCUUAUAACGUCUGAAUGAGAAACACACCAAUGAGAAACAACUUUUGACAACGGAUCUCUUGGCUCUC